This 71-nucleotide transfer RNA is filed under the name Ovis aries (sheep). It matches the Rfam family "tRNA". From Rfam's summary of the family: Transfer RNA (tRNA) molecules are approximately 80 nucleotides in length. Their secondary structure includes four short double-helical elements and three loops (D, anti-codon, and T loops). The record is from Rfam by way of RNAcentral. Lineage: Eukaryota; Metazoa; Chordata; Mammalia; Artiodactyla; Bovidae.
CCCUGGUAAUUCAGAUGGUAAAAAGUCUGCCUGCAAUGCAGGAGACCCUGGUUAGAUCCCUGGGCCAGGAA